CCCUUUGUCUUUUGCGUACUGUAUGUUUCCUCGGCGGGUUCGCCCGCCGAUAGGACACUUCAAAACCUUUUGUAAUUGCAAUCAGCGUCAGAAAAACUAUAAUAGUUACAACUUUCAACAACGGAUCUCUUGGUUCUGGCAUCGAUGAAGAACGCAGCGAAAUGCGAAAAGUAGUGUGAAUUGCAGAAUUCAGUGAAUCAUCGAAUCUUUGAACGCACAUUGCGCCCCUUGGUAUUCCAUGGGGCAUGCCUGUUCGAGCGUCAUUUGUACCCUCAAGCUCUGCUUGGUGUUGGGUGUUUGUCCCGCCUUGCGCGUGGACUCGCCUUAAAGUCAUUGGCAGCCGGAAUAAUUCUGGGGAACGCAGCACAACUGCAGCCUCCAUUUUACGCCGAGCGUCCAGUAAGCCUUUUUUCAACGUUUGACCUCGGAUCAGGUAGGGAUACCCGCUGAACUUAAGCAUAU
RNAcentral lists this ribosomal RNA (462 nucleotides) under Alternaria sp. 1 AF-2012. Its description in RNAcentral is "eukaryotic LSU rRNA". The stretch from base 110 to 263 matches the Rfam family "5.8S ribosomal RNA". Lineage: Eukaryota; Fungi; Ascomycota; Dothideomycetes; Pleosporales; Pleosporaceae. The record is from RNAcentral.